CCUGUGAAACCCAAAAGAUCGAAUGAGGAGAUUCAUCGUCAAUGAAUUUGGUAUUAAUAUGAAUUAUGAUGUGUAUACAUAUUUAUGUUAUUAUAAUUGCUAAAUUUGUCGUCGUGCACUUCUCCUCUAGUAGGACAUCGCGACCCGUUGGGAUUUGUUGGUUUACGGCCCGAUCUUUAUUGCUUUAAAGACAAUUGGCUUUAAAGACAAUUGGUGUUUCCUAACCAUCUGCCCGACGGGGUAUUAAGCCGCUUAUUAUAUAUUUGCGUUAUUGCGUUAAGCCCACCGCAAGUGAGACUUACUUUAGUAGUGUGGACCUAGUGCCAUCGCUAUAGUGGUGUCUUUUAACUGGCUUUUCAUUACCUGUCAGCGAUGCUACUGCUUUGGGUACUUUCAGGACCCGUCUUGAAACACGGACCAAGGAGUCUAACAUGUACGCAAGUCAUUGGGAUUUAAACCUAAAGGCGUAAUGAAAGUAAAGAUCGAA
This 487-nucleotide ribosomal RNA is filed under the name Ichneutinae sp. EGC-2017. RNAcentral describes it as "eukaryotic LSU rRNA". It matches the Rfam family "Eukaryotic large subunit ribosomal RNA", at positions 386 to 736 of the family's 3401-position model. Lineage: Eukaryota; Metazoa; Arthropoda; Insecta; Hymenoptera; Braconidae. The record is from RNAcentral.